Non-coding RNA from Oncorhynchus mykiss (rainbow trout), 1425 nucleotides. Lineage: Eukaryota; Metazoa; Chordata; Actinopteri; Salmoniformes; Salmonidae. The record is from RefSeq and is a predicted model, not a curated record.
UUCAAACAUAUUGUGUAAUGUGAAUUGUCAAUGAUCACGGCCCUACGGAUCCUCAUAGGCCAAUUAUGCAACCGAUAUGGUUCAUAUGUAUUGAAAUUGAUUAUAUGUACACAUGAAGAUAAUUGAAAGAGUGAAAUGAGAAACGUCAUUGUUUGCUAACUGAUAGACUUUGAUCAUGGGGAUUAUAGAUUGUAUAACCAUUCCCUGUUUGUAUUCUUUCAUGAUUUAUGAUAAAUAGUUACGAGCCUAAAUGUCUCGCGGAUGAUUACUAUUGACUUAAUGAACUGAACUGUUGACCUCCCUAACUUGUGUUAAUAAUGAAUGAUAUGAUUUGAUCUUUGAUUAUGAAUCUGAUUGGAUACAUGUUAUUUGUUUCCUUUGUGAUGCAGCACAGACUACUCAGUAAAUAUACCACUUUAUGGUUAAAGGAAUUCCUGCCUCAGUCUCAUCCAUUCCUCUGUCACCUGACACGUGACCACCUGUUCACCUUCACUGUCAGUCAUCCUACCUGUCCAGCUACUCACACAGAUUCCACUAAUCUUUCAACAUCAGUCAAAACCACCGGGCCUAAGGCUCUUCCACUGGCUGAGGAUGUGAGGGCUAGCAGCGGGAAACUAUCUUUUCUACAAAGGCUGGUCAGGCUGACAAGCAACUUAAAGCUAUUCAAGAAGGGGAACAAGAAGGAUUCCCACCGCUCUGAAUCAGAACAAGUACAGACCACUGCUGAAGAUGGCAUGCUGCCCAGCAUAGUGCCACAUGCUGCCAUGUCUGCACUGCCAAAGGAUCUCCCCGCCAGCUCCCAACAGGAGACGCCUCACAAACGUCCACUUCUCGUCAGGAUGUUUUCUGCCAUCUCCAAAGGCCUGUUCAAGCCCUUCAAACAGUCCUUAAAGACCAAGUAACUUCAGACAAUUAAUUCAACGUCAUUCAUUGCAUUAAAUUGGCCUUUGUCUUCUUAUGUGCUCCCGUUAACAGACCAGAUUACAAUACUGGUCUUUUAAAUGUUAGCAGUGAUAGCAACAUUAACUAUAGUGGUGUGUGUAUAGCCCUUCUACACAGUCUGACCCUUCUGACACUGUGUGACAUGCCCUCUGAUCCAGUGAUCUAGGAUCUUCUGAGUGGCUUUAGGCCUGAAUCUCUGCCCUCCUGCCCAAAUAAAUGUUUUCUCUUCUGAUAUAUCUGCCACUGUCAGCAGCCAGCAGGGGAAAACAGACAACGCUGUUGAGAGCUUUCUUUUCUCCCUCAUGACUAAAACACUGAGCAAGGCUUUUAUCUAUUGCAGCAUAUUCCAUCUUUUGAUUUAACCUAUUAUACGGUAGAAGUACCCAUUAUUUCCCAACGGUUAUAUCACAGGAAAUGUGUUAUAAAAAGUAAACUUACAGUGCAUCCGGAAAGUAUUCAGACCACUUGACUUUUUCUACAUUG